UAGGUUUCUAGACAUGGUGAUCUGUGAUCUGGAAGAUAUUUUUCAAUUCUUGUCCAAUCACUUUUUUUUAUUGGAGACCUAUGACUUGUGCUGGAAAACUCAUUGCCUUUACCAAGAAGAUGCAUAACAAGAGUUGGGAUGACUUACCUCAACAGAUACAAUUUGAUUUUUACAAACUGGUGAGUGAUCUUACCAUCUUACACCAUCCAGUUCUCUGUGUGACACCAGAAUUUUGACCUUCCCUGUCUCUGCAGGCUCUUUUCUUCCUGCUUUCUUCCAAGAGCACCUGAAAUCAUAAACUUCAUCUAUGCUGGGUCUUAGCUCCCACAUGUCCGAGGUUGAAGAAUGACUCUAGAAAUGGUGGUAGUGUGAAGAAGAUCAUUCCUCCCCAGUUUAAAGGUAGUAAUCAUGGUUAAUAAGCUGCUUCUCUGUAUCUCUGUAUGAGAUUCAGAAGAAGGAGGAAAAGGGGAAGAAAACCAACUAACAUUGCUUAGAGGAUUUUAACUAGAGUGGGCUCUCCAGUCUCACAAAUGUUCCAGUCUUGGCUAGGGAACCUCCACUGGAGAUGAAUAGGGUCAAGAGGAGGUGAUCUCAUGAAGCAAAAGCAGUUGAUUGUCACUUCGAACCUGGGCUUCACAGCUGAAGGCUGUGAUUGACUCACACAAUAACAAGGACUGGAGUUGAGUGAGGAGGUGAGGGAAUUUGAUCUCCCACAGAACACCUAAAGUAUAGCCCAACUCUCCUUACCCUAUUUCCCUCCUUGUAGCCUGCAAAGUGAGAAGCCUCCUUAAUCAAAGAAGGAGAUCAGUGAAGUCCUUUCUGCCUGUCUUUUGUUUUUCCUUCCCUGUCCCCUUCUUUGUGUUAUUUUUCUUAUGCUAUCAAAUUUUCCCACUCCAGAAUCCCUUAAUGGUGAGAGUAAUCCUCCUGGGGUGCUGAAAAUAGUUUGGUUUUAAUGAUACCUUGGAUGAUUUUGCUUCCUAAGAGAAAGGUUUAGCAAAGUCAUUGAUGUAAACAGAGCCACUGGUCCCCUGUUUUUACAAUUCUCUUCCUUUUCCCAACAAGCUCUGCUCAGCUCACCUCUGCUCUUCACACCAUUGCAGUCUAAAUGCUUUCAUCCUGGGCCUCUCCAGGACCUCCUCCUGCUCCACUGAGCCCAUGCUUUUUUGUCCCUGCACAACUGGAGCCUGGUGCAGUAAUUACAGCUGCAAUGAAAGGGUUUGUCUCCCUUGGGCACUCACGAUGUUGCCAGUGCUGCUGGUGAAGAACUGAGCCACUUUUGUAGGGCAUCAUAGGGCCGUGGUGCUCUGGGACAUCAGACAGCAAGAUGUUUGGAACCCUACCCACUCCUCUUUCUCUCCCCUACUCUGCACCCUUCUUCUUUUUACUCCUGACCCAGCCCCAAACUUCCUACCACACUUUGUAUCUUUUUGGCAGGAUUUUCUGUCCCAGAAGGCAUGAAAGCAGUUGGAACAAAGGCAGUUUGGCAAAAACAUAUUGAGUCAUAUUUUAAGAAUCUCCUGAUAUUACUGCACCUCUGGUUCUGCCUAAGGAGUAAAGAAGCUUCAGAGGCUGCGUCUAGCUGGAAUUAUACUCCCAAGAGCCCAGGCCCUCCAGAACCCAGCAGGAAUCCACAAAGAAAAGCAGACUCUGCUGAAGCAUAGGGCUUGACUGUACAUCCUUAUCCCCUAGUGUUGCUGUCUCAAAUCACCUCAUCCUGAUACUCCUUCUCUCCUUACCUGCCUUCAUUCUUAAGAGCUACUGUUCCUUCAAGCUCUGUCACACUGGCCUUUGUCCAUUGCUGUUUCUGGUUGUGGGUACCUUUCAAGCCUCCCAUGCUUGCUGGACUGUCUCAACUUCUGAUUUUUUGCAUGCUUUGACUAUAAGUCAAUAUAAAUGUCAAUAUCAUAAAACCAUGUCAUGGUAUGUCCUCAUUGUCAUCAUCAUUAUCACCAAAAUCAUCCUUUAAAUUUAUUGACAUGCCACUUUGACUUAAUCUUGGUUUUCAUAAAGGUCUUCUGUCAAAAGGCAGAUAAAAAUAAACAAGCAAGUAGUUAAAAAUGGCAUAUAAACAGAGACUACCAUACACACUUUACACAGAAGGAAAUGGAGACUUUGGCUAAAUGUAUUGCAUCUGGCAACAACAUUCCUUCAAUUGUUUAUUUAUUCAUGCACUUGUUCAGUCAUUCAAGAAUGAAUUAGUGGGUGCCUGCUACCUGUUAUGUACUGUGUUUGAAACAGAAGAAUAAAUAAAAUUAUAGUUUUCUCCAGGAAGCUCAAAGUUUAGUGAAAGACUCAGACAUAAUAGCAUGUAAUUAUAGUACAAUAAAAGUGGGUGCAUAAGUAAUAUAUUCAUCAUGUUGUAGGUUCACAGGAGAGGAUCAUUUACCUCCAGUUGUUAAAUGUGAAAGAAUCAGGGAUGGCGUCCUGGAAGAGGUGACUACUAAUCUGACUGUAAACAUUGAUUCAGAGUUAUUCAAAAGAAAGAAAAUGAAAUGGGUGAGGUAGAGGCAAAGAGAAAUAUUCUAGGCAAUGGAGAUAAGAGAAAAGACGUGAAAAUGGGAAAUUGCAUGGUGUACUUAGAAGGAUAAAAUUCAUUUUUUGUUAUUGAAGCAUAAAGUAUGAAGUUGUUGUAAUCCAAAUAAAGUUGAACUCACUUGUUGAUGGUCCCAUUAUGACACUGUUUCCAUGGAAGCAAGUUUGAUCACACCUGCUAAGAAAACAAAAACAAAAAUUAAUGUAAGCAAAAUCUGUAUUCAAAUCUUCAAAGGGGUCCCCAAAGGACAAAUGUUUUCCAUAACAGGUCGUAAAAUAGUUGAAUGUUGAUUUUUUGCCAGUCUUUCUAUUUCACUCACAGUUUGGCAAUCUUUUCUCUUUCCCUUUCACAUUCCAUGAGAAUUCUAUGCUACCCAGAUCUCUACUUUCUUCCUUUAUCUGCUUUCCUCUUUCCAUAAUAAUUUUCUCAGAUUUCUAACAUAAACCAAAUAGGCUUCUUCUCUUAACUUCUUCAUUAAGCAGCACUAACCAUUGUUCUGCUUAACAUUAGGGCUACAAACCAAGAAAACAUCUAUACCUUGAUAUGUAAUGAGGUUUGAGAAGUAUAUGAAGAGUGAAUCAUGAAUGGCUAAACAGACAGUGAACAUAAGGGAAGAACAAGGGCUUUUUAUUUAAAAAAGUCUUGCAGUCAUAAUUUAAAUUAUCACAGCUUUUGUCAUUCUGAGAGCAGCCAGCUGCCAUGCCAUGCCCUGACGACACCGAGAGUUCUUGUGGUGAGAAAAUCCUGCCAACAACCUACAUUUAACCUGCCAGCCUGGAGCCUGGAGCCUGCAAGCCGCCUGGGAAGUGCAUCCUCCACUUCCAAGUGGAUCCUCCAGCCUGGGUCAACAUUCAAAUGACUGCAGCACCAAGUGAUAUCAUGACUGCACCCUCAUGAGAAAGCCUGGACCUAAAGAGACACAGCUCUGAAUUCCUGACCCACAGAUAUCGUGUGAGAUAAUAAAUAUGCAUUGCUUGCAGCCACUAAUUUUUGAGGUGACUUGUUAGUCAGCAGUAAAUAGCGAAUGCGUCCAUCCAAGUCAGCGCUUGUAUUGUUAAUGGCUGCUCGGCCUCCCUUUUUGAAGCUUUAUUAUCUGCAUAAGGGUAACGAUAGCUAUGGAGGUGUGUACUUACUUCUUGUCUUCUUUGAAAUCUUUGUUUCAUAAAGAUAAGUUAUGCCAUGAUUUGAGCAUCGUCUGUGUUAAUUAAAUCAAGUCUAUCUUC
Gorilla gorilla gorilla (western lowland gorilla) is the source of this 3756-nucleotide long non-coding RNA. RefSeq lists it as uncharacterized. The record is from RefSeq and is a predicted model, not a curated record. Lineage: Eukaryota; Metazoa; Chordata; Mammalia; Primates; Hominidae. The transcript is spliced from 2 exons.